AGGACGAACGCUGGCGGCGUGCUUAACACAUGCAAGUCGAGCGAGGCCCGUUCCUUCGGGAACGGUGCCCUAGCGGCGAACGGGUGAGUAACACGUGGGCAACCUGCCUCUAGCACUGGGAUAACUCCGGGAAAACCGGGGCUAAUACCGGAUACGACCUCUGAGGGCAUCCUCCGGAGGUGGAAAGCAUUGUGGCUAGAGAUGGGCCCGCGGCCUAUCAGCUUGUUGGUGGGGUAACGGCCCACCAAGGCGACGACGGGUAGCCGGCCUGAGAGGGCGACCGGCCACACUGGGACUGAGACACGGCCCAGACUCCUACGGGAGGCAGCAGUGGGGAAUAUUGCACAAUGGGCGAAAGCCUGAUGCAGCGACGCCGCGUGAGGGAUGACUGCCUUCGGGUUGUAAACCUCUUUCAGCAGGGACGAAGCGAAAGUGACGGUACCUGCAGAAGAAGCACCGGCAACUACGCGCCAGCAGCCGCGGUAA
Molecule: ribosomal RNA, 486 nt
Filed under: uncultured bacterium
Lineage: Bacteria
Description: SSU rRNA
Rfam family: Bacterial small subunit ribosomal RNA
Source: RNAcentral